GAUGAUCAACUUUACUCAAUAUAUGAUAUCAAUUAAUAAUGAGUGACCUAUAAAACCAUUUACAUUUGUUGAACAUGGAUUUAAACAUGAGUAGGAUAAUAAAAGGACCUAAAAUAAAUUGCUGAUAAUUAACAAUGAAACGAACAAACAUGCCACACAUCAAUCAUAAUUAUACUUUUAACACGGUAACACCUAGCAAUCUUAUGAACCAAUUUCUAAGUGAGCAUUUUAAGGCCAUUACACGUUAAUUGCAGCAGCUCUAACAAACUAGUAUACCUCAAUACUAUUACUUUAUUUUGAUGGUAAGCAACUCUCACUUCCAACCGAAAGGUUGUGAGUUCGAGUCUCCCAAGAGCAAGGUGGGAAGUUCUUGGAGGNNNNNNNNNNNNNNNNNNNNNNNNNNNNNNNNNNNNNNNNNNNNNNNNNNNNNNNNNNNNNNNNNNNNNNNNNNNNNNNNNNNNNNNNNNNNNNNNNNNNNNNNNNNNNNNNNNNNNNNNNNNNNNNNNNNNNNNNNNNNNNNNNNNNNNNNNNNNNNNNNNNNNNNNNNNNNNNNNNNNNNNNNNNNNNNNNNNNNNNNNNNNNNNNNNNNNNNNNNNNNNNNNNNNNNNNNNNNNNNNNNNNNNNNNNNNNNNNNNNNNNNNNNNNNNNNNNNNNNNNNNNNNNNNNNNNNNNNNNNNNNNNNNNNNNNNNNNNNNNNNNNNNNNNNNNNNNNNNNNNNNNNNNNNNNNNNNNNNNNNNNNNNNNNNNNNNNNNNNNNNNNNNNNNNNNNNNNNNNNNNNNNNNUGGGGUAAGGUCUGUGUACACACUACCCUCCCCAGACCCACUAAGUGAGAUUAUACUGGGUUGUUGUUAUUCCCAAUUUUAACGUAAAGUAUGGCAAUAUGGACAGCAGCAUCAAAUUAACUUGGCCGAACAUUACUAGAUAUAAAAAUCGGGUGAUUCAUGGUUAAGAUCAAAUUAGUUCACGGUCCUUUACAAAACAAGUCCAACGGUCCUAAGUAAUACAAUUUUAGAAUAUGCAAUCCAAAAGCUUUUCAUUUAAUUACAAAAGAGGUCCAAGCAAUCCUAAUUAAUACAAAUAGUCCUAUCUAAUAUCAAUACAUAUUUGUCCAAAUGAAACUACAAUUACAUAUUAAAAUAGUAAUUAAACAUAGAGACAAAGUCAUGGAGUACAAUGCUUCACUAUUUGAUCUCACAAGUGUUCAUGUACAUUAGAGAGUAGACCAACAGUGUACCUGGAGUUUGAAACACAAUUAAAAGGAGCAGAAGUCAGCAGCAAUUGGCAACAAUCAGCAGGAUCAGUCAGCAAUAGUGAGCCUGAAAUCACACAACAACACAGAAACAGCAAUAGUGAGCCCGAAAUCACACAACAACACAGAAAUAGAUCCAAUAGUAGAAGGAGAAAUUCUAAACCAAGCAGAAAUCAACAGAUCUACUAGAAAAAAACAACUUGUAUGAACCCAAAUAAGCUUGAGAUUGAACACAACAACUCCAUAAAGUUCUUAGCAAAUAGGAGCACCCAAAAAAACUUGAAUGAAUCCCAAAAUGACUUAAAAUUGAGUUCAGAACACUAGGGAUCUAGAUUAACCAACUAAAGUAUAAACAACACUUGAAUGUAACUGAAUAUUUUGGGAUUUUUCUACUGUAAUUUCAUUUGUUUUUGGAUUUAUGCAGAAAACUACGAUCUAAAGAAGGUUUAGAAUUAGAUCACUUCAAAUUUGAACCUUCUGGGAUUUUGAAAUUCAAAUUUAAAAUUGAGACUUGAAGAAAAAGAUUUUGGAAGGGGAAAUUAAGAGCUGGAGAGUUGUUAGGAAUUUUCAGAUGUUCAAAAACAUGUUCAUGAACGCAGUAGGCCUGUCUUUUAUAGGCAAGAAAAAGGGCAGAAUAUUCUGGACUCAUUCCUCAUUCCACCCUCNNNNNNNNNNNNNNNNNNNNNNNNNNNNNNNNNNNNNNNNNNNNNNNNNNNNNNNNNNNNNNNNNNNNNNNNNNNNNNNNNNNNNNNNNNNNNNNNNNNNNNNNNNNNNNNNNNNNNNNNNNNNNNNNNNNNNNNNNNNNNNNNNNNNNNNNNNNNNNNNNNNNNNNNNNNNNNNNNNNNNNNNNNNNNNNNNNNNNNNNNNNNNNNNNNNNNNNNNNNNNNNNNNNNNNNNNNNCCCCCCCCCCCCCCCCCCUUUUAUUUCAGAAUUUAGUAAUUAAUCUCUGAAUUUGUGGCUUGUUGCCUAAGUUAUUGCAUUAAGAAUGCAGAAACUUACACUAAGACCCCCUUGUACAUGGACCUAGGGUCUUCUAGCUUUGUUUUCUACCUAUGGAAUACCUAUACUACCCCCAUUUGUUUUUCCGGAAUUGCUUAGCCUUAACAAACUGAGCCAUUUCCAAUGCCCAAACUACCCUUGAAUAAUCCUAAACUUACUAACCCUAGUAUGAAAUUGUAACUCCCAAGCCCUUUUACCUUAGUUACAUUUAACUAUGGUUAAUUCAGGACUAGAUUAUUCAGCUAUAUCCAACCAACUAACCUAGCCUAAAUAGCUUAAUGAACUAAGGAAUUACCAAUAAUGAUUACUGAUUAAACCAAACUAAACUAAAUUAAACUAAUUAAAACUAACAAAUUAAACACUAAAAAAAUAAAAAUCAAAUAAUACCUAAACAUAAUGGACUAAAACAUAUAAUAGCAAUGAAAACUAAAUUGAAACAAAACACGUAUAAAAAAAAUUAAAAUAACACCUAAAAUUACUAAGGAAUGAUUUAAACAAAUCAAAAAAAUUAAACUAAAAGAUAAAAAACAAUUACAAGAGCAGAAUUGAACCAAAAUAAAAAACAGAACCACACGAAAAUUUACUGAUUUUUGUUCUUCAACUUGAUUGAUUUUCGGAAUUGAUUUUUAAUUAAUAUUAUAUGUUUCUUUUGUCAAAAUAAAACCUAUAACAUUAAUUAAAAAUUAUCCGAAUUCUGAAAACUCCAAAAGAAGUUAAAAUUUAAUUUCAAAACCCUAGCUCUAAAAUUAAUGGGGUUUCAUUUGGAUUUGAAGAGUUCCAGAUUGGGAUUUAGGAAGAGAAAUGUUAGGGGAAUAUAGGGUGUGAAUGUUGUUGAACUUUGAAUAGUUAACGCUUUGGCUGGACUUUCGAUCUAAUAUUCGAGAAGAUUGGUUAUGAUUUGAGGGAUAUAGUUUUGGGGGCUAGAAAGAGGAGGGAGAGGAUUGACUGGUGUAAUUUUUGGCGGAUUUGGAGCAUCGUCGCCGGCAGAGGCGAUUUUAGACCGGCGCAGGACGACGGAGGACGGUAGAGGCACGGUGGGGACAGUGGUGACCGGGGUGGACGACUGUGAGUACGAGGAAGAUGGAGGGUUGUCUCUAUAAUUUGUAUAGUGUUAUUGCACUUUAAUAUAAAAUGAAGGACUAAAUCUGGACCAUUGGAUUUGGGAGUAUGGACGGUCAAGAUUAGUUAAUGCCAAAAUAGUGUCGUUUUGUAAUCUGGGAUUAGACCGGGUUAGGGAAUGAGUUUGGAUCGUUCAGGGUAAGAUUGGGGGGGGAGGGUGGUUGAUUGGGCUUGAAUUUUAUGGCCCAAAAAGUAGAUGGCCUAGAUAAUUUUUCAUUUGUUUUUCUUUUCCUUCUUUUCUUUUGUAUUCUAAUUUAUUUAUUUCUUUGCAAAAUUAAUGAAACCAAAUUUAACUCAAAAAUUAGACCAAUUAAUUUUCUAAAAUAGAAUAAACCCUAGUUAAAAAGUUAACUAAACAAAAAAUGCAACAAGUGACUAUUUUUUAUAAUUUUCUUCUAUUUUUGACAUUAGUUAAAAAAUAAAAAAUUUGAUUCUAAAUUCAAGUAUGCUAGUUUUGUAUUUUUCAUGAGUUAUGUCAAUAAAAAUGCACAAAACGCAAACAAUCACGAAAUCAUCCAAUUAAUUCCCUAAAAUUCAUAUGAUAAAAUAAAAAUUCUGAUUCUAAUGAAUUUAUAGGAGUAAUUUAAGUGUGGUAAAAAUCGCGUGCUCACAACUGUCCCUCUUUGCUUGAAGACACGAAGGGUUUUUGGGCAAAGAUAAAUGAGCAACAUUAAGGAUUUUUGCCUGCUCAUCUCUCUAGGAGAAGCAUUUUGAAAACUGUCUGACCAAACCCCGCUUCAAAAGUUUCCUACAUAUGCUUCGCUAUAAAGGAAUCAGGUUAGUGUAGUUCUGGAAAGUUCGGUAGCUGGGACUACGAGGAGCUGUGAUUUCGCUAAUGUUGCUGCUGCUACUUCUUGCUGACCUCCUUAUUAUACCAAAAGGAAAAUGAAAGGUAAGCUAGCUAUGCCUAUCAACUAUGAGUUACAAGAUUCCUAUCUAUAAUUCUCUUGAAACUUGAUCUUGAGUCUUAGCUAAUUUUGAUGUGGACUUCGAUCUGAAUCUUGAUGGUCGCAAGUUGUAGGUGUUUACUUUUUCAUGCAGCAUUGGGUCAAAACAGGACCAAUGAAACUUGUGAUUUCAAUCAGAUUUUGAGCAAUCUAGCUUGCUUCACAUUUAUAUUCAUUUCUUUUGUUCUUUUCUUAAUUCUAGAUUGAGAUUCAUUCCUUUGGUCACCUUGCACUUUAUGUCUUAAUGUCGACCUGCUUAAGAUACCAAAAUAAACAAACGACAAAAUUUUUCUGCCCCAAUUUUCACUAGGAAAGUUUCGUGAGUUAGUUAUGACACAUAUCUUAGCAGUCAAAUUAGGAUUGUGUAUUCUUAUGAAUAAAUACAAUUUAUGAUGGUAAAUUACUGGGUUAAAAGAAGAAAAGUUCCUCGGGCUCUGCCGGGAUUUGAAAAGAAAAAGUUCCUUGGGUUAUGCCAGGGAGAUCCUCAAUUUUUUUUCCAGGAUUUAUAAAGAAAAGGCAGCAUGGACUAUGCCAGGGAGAUCCUUGGUUUUUUGGCCGGGAUUUGGAAAGUAAAAGCUCAUAGGGUUGUGCAAGGGAGAUCCUCAGUUUUUUGGCUGGGAUUUGGAAAGAAAAAGCUCCUUGGUAUAUCCUAGGGAGAUCCUCAAUUUUUUGGCCAGGAUUUGGAAAGAAAAAGCUCCAUGGGUUAUUCCUGGGAGAUCCUCGGUUUUUUAGCUGGGACUUGGACAGAAAAAGCUCUUUAGGUUAUGCCAGAGAGAUCCUCGGCUUUUUGGUCGGGAUUUGGAAAGAAAAAGCUCCUUGGCUUCUGCUAGGAAGAUCCUCGAUUUAUUGGUCGGGAUUUGAAAAGAAAUAGAUCCUUGGGUUAUACCAGGGAGAUCCUUAGUUUUUUUGCCGGGAUCUGGAAAGAAAAACCUCUUUGGGUUAUGCAGGGAGAUCAUCGGUUGUUUGGCCGGCAUUUGGAAAGAAAAAGUUCAUAUGCUACUUUGAUUUGUUUUUCUUUUCGGCUUUUCAUUUUCAUUUCUUUUCUUCUUCUUCUUCUUCAUUUUCUUCUUUUUUUGUUUUUUGAUAUUUUCCUUUAUAUUUAGCAAAACACUUGAAAUAAUUUUGGGGAAACUUGCUUUUUGGUCAUUUUACUACUGCAAAGUUGUUUCAGCGCUUGCGCAUUUCAUUUUUUUUGGGCUGCACCUGCUUCAUGAAUGGUUGCUCUGAAUAAGACCUAUUUUCAACAAAGAACAAUUUGUUAGUUUGAAACAGUUGGUUUUGUGGCCUUGAUCAUCCCAAUUUCUUGAUCCGAGACCCUUUUCUGUUGAGAACUUUGUUGCUUGUUGGCCUUGGGAGUGAAUCUCUCUUAAAACUGACCAGGUUCAACUCUCGAGGUUUCAUUAUGACUCACCUGUGUGGGCUCUGGCCUCUUCACUUUAUUCUGCCCUUUCCUGUGAUUUUCUUUCUUUCCUAAUGUGUUUGCUUCGAAAGCAUCAACCAUUAUGAAUAGUCGGGAUUGACCUAACGCACUCGCUGAGGCUGGACAUUUCUUCGACUCUGACCAGGUAGAGCCUUGUGAAGCUAGUCCUGCCUCUUUGUAAUAGUUAUGGAAUUAGAGUUAAACGGAAAGUGAUUCAAAGAAGAGUAUGCAGAAAGGAAAGCAUAUGAGUUUUAAAGAGAUGCGUCCCUUUCGUGGAAAAUAAGGACUUAUCUAGGGUGUAUACUAGUUUCAAAUGAACAUGACAUGCUUCUUGGACUGGAUGCCCUACCCACACAAACUUUCCAAAUUUUCGGAAUCUCAUUGAUCUGCAUUUCACAACCAGGGAACCUUGCCAGGACUCUUUUAGUGGCGAGAUGUCUUCUUUUAUGCCAACAUCGCCCUUUAUGGAUUUUCGCUAAUCGACCAAUCUCAUUUCUCUUCUCACCAUCGCGCGAUAGUUCUCUUUAUGAUUUUUAGUAAGCGGACUCUCAAAUUUUGUAUUUCUCCACUUACCGUCGCCAUAUGGUGCCCGAAAGUUUUCACUGAUAAGACUCUCUCAUAUUAUUUCUCUCAAUUAUAAUUAUAUCAGAUUCCAACAAUGAUGUGUUUCACUUCCCCAAUUUUGCCAAUUGAUCGGAAGGUCUUGGACAAGGUCUUUGGGGGGGGGGGGGUACAAGGAUUUUGGGCAAAACUACAACUUUGUAACCGUUUCGGCGGAUUCAUAGUCGAACCAUCAUAUCAUCUGCCCAGUUUUAAUUUUUUGAGAAAUUGAGAUUUUUGUUUUGGUUUGACUGAACCUCAGGGAGAGGCUGCAUAUGUAUCCUUUCGGAAUCAAGUCAAAAGUAGUUCAAGCAAAUAAUUUUUGUUUUUGUUUCGUUUUUCUUUACUUUUCUUUUAUUUUUCUUUUUUUCUUUUCUUUUUCUUUUCUUUUAUUCUCUUUUAAUUUUCUUUUUGUACUUCCGGGUUCCAAAGAGGGUAGCCAAAGAAACGGAACCGGCUCAAAGGGUUCAUAAAGGAUUGAUAGUGUUUGGGGUAGAGGGAAGGAAAGCCUUCGUCAUCUCAAUUACACAAAAGCCAUCUAAUCAGGAAGCCUAGACAUAAUAUCUUUUGACUACAUCUGCAUUGACUGCUCUUUCAGGGUUAUUUCCUUCGAUGUCUCCAAAAUACAGUGCUCCUCUUGGCAAUAUCUUUCGGAUAUGUAUGGACCAUUCAAAUUAGGACCAAUCUUUCCUUUUACUUCCAGGUAAUGAGGGAGAAUGCAUCUAAGCACGAGCUGUACCACUUCAAAAUUCCCGGGAUGCACUUUUUUGUUUUAGGCGCGAGUCAUUCUUUAUUUAAACAACUACCCUGACAAACUGCGGACAUCCAAUUUUCAUCAAUUAAUGACAAAUGCUCCAGCCGAAUAUUAACCCACUCACUGUUCUCAAUUUAUGCUUCAAUGAUUGUGAGAAACGAAGGGAUUUCUACUUCUGCAGGUAUAAUUUCUUCAGUUCUGUAAACUAACAAAUACAUGGUCACUCUGAUUGAUAUACGCACUGUGGUACGAUACCCGAGUAAUGUGAAAGACAACUUUUCAUUCCAUUUCCUGGAGCUUUUAAUCAUCUUUCUCAAAAUCUUCUUGAUAUUCUUAUUUGUUGCUUCGACUACAUCAUUGGAUUUUGGCUGAUAAGGUGUAGAGUUUCUAUGUGUUAUAUAGAAUUGUUCACAUACCUUUUUCAUCUGACGACUGUUCUUAUUUGCAGCAUUGUCAGUAAUGAUUGUUGCAGGAAUGCCAAAGCAGUAAAUGAUAUUGGAGUGCACGAAGUCUACCACAGCCUUCUUGGUAACUGACUUAAGAGUGACGGUCUCAACCCAUUUUGUGAAGUAAUUGAUUGCAACCAAUAUAAAUCUAUGUCCAUUUGAAGCAUUGAGCUCGAUUGGCCCAAUGACAUCCAUACCCUAAGCAACAAAUGGCCAAGGUGCUAACAUUAGAUGAAUCUCUGUUGGAGGUGUAUGAAUAUAAUCACCCUGCAACUGACAUUGAUGCCAUUUCCAAACAAAACUGAAGCAAUUCUUUUCCAUGGUAUCAAGUCAUACCCCGCUCGCAGAAUUUUCUUUGCCAACACAUAACCAUUCAUAUGAGGUCCGCAUACUCCUUCGUGUACUUUAUGUGUAGUUCUUCCGGCCUCUUCGGCGUCAAGACAUCUUAAUAAAUUGCGGUCUGAGGUUCUUUUCUACAAAACAUCACCUUAUUAAGAAGAAACCACUCGCAUGCCGUCUAAUGGUUCUCUUUUUAUCUCCAAUGGAUUGCUCGGGGUAUUCUUGUAUUUUUAGAAGUCUUUUGAUAUCAUGAUACUAGAGUUAAAUGCUGGGUGCCGUCUCGACCGUAUUGCAAUACCCGUGAUUUUCUUUGAAUUGAAUCUCCAGAGGGUCAAUAUAGGCAUUACUCGGGUAAGGCAGCAUUGAAGCUAAAGUGGCAAGUUCAUUGGUUAGUUCAUUGUGACACCGAGGGAUGUACUUGAACUCUAUCGACUUGAAGCGUUUGGUGAGAUCUUCCAUGUAUUGCUGAUAGGGAAUAAGUUUAAUAUCUCGAGUCUCCCAUUCUCCCUGGGUUUGCUGGAUAAUUAAAUUAGAGUCCCCCAUGAUCAAUAAAUCUUCAACAUCUUGAUCAAUCUCUAUAUUUAUGCCCGUGAUAGAAGCUUCAUACUCGGCGGUAUUGUUUGUGCAGAAGAAUCGGAGGCUAGCUGUAGCAGUGUAAUUUUGACCAUUGGGUGAUAUCAAGAUUGCCCCAAUUCCUACACCUCUAGAAUUUACUGCUCUAUUGAAGAACAUUUUCCAAGCACGAGUGUCCUCCGAGAUCGCUUCUACUUAAUUUAUUUUUUCAUCUAGUAAGUAUGUGCUCAAUGGUUUGUAUUCCUCAUCAAUCGGGUUUUUUCUAAAUGAUCUGCCAAUGCUUGGGCUUUCAUUUCUGUGCAAGUGACAUAGACUAUGUAGAAUUCAGUGAGCAAGAUUUUCCAUUUUCCCAGUCUCCCUGUGGGCAUCAGUUUCUGGAAUAUGUACUUCGAAGUAUCCAACCUGGUAAUAAGGUAGGUAGUAUGGGCUUAAAGACAAUGCCUCAACUUUUGAGCGACCCACGUCAAAGCACAACACGUUCUCUCCAACAAAGUAUAUUUCGCUUCGUAGCAGGUGAACUUCUUUCUCAGAUAAUAAAUUGCCCGCUCUUUCUUGCCGGUUAUAUCAUGCUUCGCGAGGACACAGCCAAACAAAUUUUCCAGAACCGUCAGAUACAAGAAGAGGGGUCUCCAUGUCUCCAAUGAGACUAACGCUAGAGGAUUUGACAAAUAUUCCUUGAUCCUGUCGAAAGCCUCCUGACAUUCAGACGUCAAUUUGAUUGCCACAUCUUUCUUCAACAGUUUGAAUAUGGCUCACAUGUGGUAGUAUGUUGCGAUGAACUGACCGACAUAGUUUAACCUACACAAUAAGCUCAUCACAUCCUUCUUAGUUUUCGGAGGAGGUAAAUCUCAAAUUGAAUUUAUCUUGUUGGAUCUAACUUGAUACCUCUCAUACUGACUAUAAAAUCCAGGAGCUUACCUGAUGGGACCCCGAAGGCACAUGUAGCCGGAUUCAGCAUCAAAUCAUACUUACACAGCCGUUCAAAGAACUUUCUGAAAUCUCUAACGUUGUCACUCUGAGCUCGGGACUUAAUGAUUAUAUGAUCCACAAUCACCUCUAUCUCCUGGUGGAUCAUAUCAUGGAAAAGUGCAGUCAAGACUCUCAUGUAGGUUGCCCUGGCAUUAUUCAACCAAAUGGCAUGACCUAAUAAUAGUAGGUACCCCAAGGUGUAUUGAAGCUAUCUUCUCGGCAUCUUCUUCAUCCAUCAACACCUGGUGAUAUCCUGCGCAACAAUCUACCAAGGACUGUAUUUCAUGUUUGGUGCAGUUAUUAACAAGGAUGUGGAUGUUAGGCAAAGGGAAAUUUUAUUUGGAACUUGCCCUAUUCAAAUCUUACACACACACCCGGGUUUGUUUGUCCUUCUUUGGUACUGGAACCACAUUGGCUUGCCAUGUAGUAUAUGGGACCACUUGGAUUUCCCCCGCCAGCUGUUUUGUGAUUUCAUCUUUGAUCUUAUCACUGAUAUCUGUCAUAAACUUUGUUUGCUUUUGCUGAACUAGAGGACAAUCGGGGUAAAUUGGCAAUUUGUGUACCACUAGAUCUACACUCAGUCCUAGCAUGUCAUCAUACGACCAAGCAAACGCAUCUUUAAUCUCAAUCAAGAGUUGGAUUAUUGCAUCUCGAGUUUUCUCAUCUGUGUGAAUGCUUAUUUUGGUUUCUCUUAUUUCUUUGGUUGUUCCCAAAUUAACCGGUUCAGUGUCAUUAAGAUUUGGCUUAUGUUUGUUCUAAAUUUGUUCCAAUUCUCGGUUUAUUUCCCUAAAAGCCUCUUCUUUAUCAUAUUCUGGUUCUUGAUUCAUUAUUUCGAAGUUAGACAGAAGGAUUGAGUCUAGACAUGAAGUCCACAAGCAUGUCAUGUUAUUUAAAGCUGCAUUAUUAUGACCAAGAAGAAAGUAGGAAAAGGAAAAAUAACAAAAAUCAGAAAGAAUAAAGAGAAAAAUGGACGAUGAAAUAUUGAUUUCAUUUCUUUGAGUUCGAUAGGAUAACUGGGUUUACAUCUAGGAAUUUAAGAGAUAAGAAUCUAAAAGAAAAAUCCGAGUUACACCCUAGAAUAACCCGACAUGCAGAAAAGGUGACAGGGCUAGUCUACCGGGACUCCCGCCUGAUCGUUAAUGGCGUAACCUUCCAAUUUUGGAAUUUAGCAUCUGGUCCCUUGUAGAACACCUCAGUAGUGCUAGUACCUUCCCCUGACUGAACCAUGUUAGUUUUAUAAAGCAUUUGCCUCAAAGCUCCACAUAUAUCUUAAAUUUCUUCAGCGGUCAAGGCCUUAUCAUCUUCUUUCUCACUGUAUUUUUGCUAGACAAAGGUCUGAUAAAGAUGUCGCAAUGGCUGUGGCAAGACCCAUCCUUCAUUUUUUCUCUCAUCUACCCAAUUUUCAUCGUCUGGGGUAGGAUGAAGCUUAACCUGAAGAAUUUUUUUGUUGUGGGUAGGGUUAUUGUCUUCGGUAUUUCUUGUAGAGCUUUUCCCUAUCGUUUUCCUGGAUGAAAACUGUGUUUGAUCAUUUCUUUUGCCAUUAUGAUCGAAGCAUUAGAUAGAAAAGGUUGGGGCCAAAGGGCUCCCUCCUCGUACCAAUCCGCCACCAUAACUUCAAAAGCUUGAUGAAUAAUAUGUUCGCUUUCCUCUCUCACCUCCAAACAUGGGAUAGAUGGGUGCCGCUAAAUAGACUGCUCGUCUUCUCCGAGGACCAUGUUUUCCUAAUCUUUAUAAUCGAAUUUCACCAUUUGGUGGAGAGUAGAGGGUAUAGCCCCCGCAACAUGGAUUCAAGGCCUUCCCAGAAUAAAGUUGUAAGAUGUAUCCAUAUAUAACACCUGGAAAGUCACCUCGAACCCCACUGGGACUACGGUUAAUAUCAGAUCUAUUUCUCCGAUAGUAUCCCUUUUAAUGCCAUAAAAGGCUUUUACACAGACUCUAUGGGGAUCAUUCCUUCAAGUCCCGAUUACCAUUCUCUGCAGUGUGGAGAGUGGGCAAAUAUCACCCCGAGCCUCCAUCAAUCAUAACUCGCUAGAUAUAAUAACCUUCACACUUGAUAGUUAGAUGUAAGGCUUUGUUGUGAGCCGCUCCCUAUGGAGGCAAGUCAUUUUUAUUAAAGGAUAUUUGAUUGACAAUAAAGAACCUUUAUGCCAUUCUUUCGAUUUUGUUUGACCGAGGAUUCAAUUGGCACAUACGCCUCAUUCAAAGUUUUCAUUAGGAUCUUCUGAUGUUCGGCGGAUUUCGUCACCAAUGACAAAAGUGACACUUUCUCAGGAUACUUCUUCAAUCGAUCCACUAUUUCAUAAUCAGACAUCUUCAUUUUCUGGAAGAAGGCCUCUACUUCCUCGACACAUAUUGGCUUCUUGGCUGGAAAACGCUUUCAGGUGGCACUAUUUACCUCUUAUGCUUUUGAAUACUUUUCAAUAGAGACUUUUCCUCGAAGUUCCCCUGAAAUACCCUUACCCUUGUAUGUAACCAAUGUCUGUUGAUAGUUCUAUGGCACCACAGAAUGGUCUGUCAUUGGCUUCUGUGGCACGCGUCCAAUAACCACUGGCUUAUUCAGCCGAGGCGAUUUAAUUGUCCCCCGUACCACAUAAGCUCCUUUUGGCACAAUCAUUGAUGUUCCUUUUUGUUACUUAAAACUUUCUCGGAGUGAUCACAACUAGUGAUUUCUAUUUGCAACCUCGUAAAACAUAAAGAAUCCCGUUUUUUGGAGGCACUAUCUCUUCUUUUGUUUUAGUUUUCUUCUUAGGCUCGGUUUUGACAGUCUUAUUCUUCUUCCCCCCGUUUCCUUCCUCGGGGCUGCCGUGGGCUUCUUUUCUGCAUCAGUGAUAGCAAUUAUGGCUUUCAGGGCUGGAUCAAAUUCAAUGCCUUCAUAAAUUAUCAUGAUUACCGGCUUAGGAGGGCCUGGGCAAACUCUGCACGGCCCUCACCUUCUUCGGAUCCACAUGAAUGCCCUCACUAGAUACCACGUGGCCUAAGAAUGCCACAAAACUGUACCAAAACUCACUUUUUGAGAACUUUGCAUAUAAUUUCUUUUCUCUUAGGGUCUGAAGCAUUGUCCUCAGGUGCUGCUCAUGAUCUUCCUGACUCUAGGAGUACACAAGAAUACCAUCUACGAAAAUAAUGAAAAACUAGUCGAGCUAGGGCCUGAAUAUACUGUGCAUCAAAUGCAUAAAAGCAUUUGGGGCAUUAGUCAGCCCAAAUGACAUGACAAGGAACUUGCAAUGACCAUACCGAGUCCUGAAAGAAGUCUUCGGGAUAUCCAGCCCCCAAAUCUUUAACUGGUGAUAACCUGAGCCCACAUUAAUCUUAGAAAGCACCUGUGCGGCCUAAAGCUUGUAAAAUACAUCAUUGAUACGAGGCAAAGGAUAUCACUUCAUCACUGUAACCUUGUUCAACUGACAAUAAUCAAUACACACGUGCAUAGAACCAUCCUUUUUCUUAACGAACAAGACAGAAGCACCCAUGGUGAAACACUGGGUCGAAUGAAACCUUUAUCAAGAAAUUCCUGUAACUGAUCCUUAAACUCAGAAGGAGCCAUACGGUACGGAGGAAUGGAUAUGGGCGGAGUCCCCGGCAUCAAAUCAAUACUAAAAUCAAUAUCCCGAUCGAGCAGCAUGCCCGGAAGAUCAGCUCAAAACUCAUCGAGGUAAUCCCGUACCACUGAGACAGAGUCAACAGAAGGGGUAUCAGCACUGACAUCUCUCAGAUAAGCAAAAUAUGCGGCACACCCCUUCUCAACUAUACGCUCAACUUUAAGAAAGAUAAUAACUCUACUGGGAGUGUGAUAAAAUGUACCACUCCACUCAAUACGCGGAAUACCGGGCAUAGCCCGCGUCAUGGUCUUGGCGUGACAAUCAAUAAUAGCAUACUGGGGCGACAACCGGUCCAUGCCCAAGGUAAUUUUGAAAUCAACCAUAUCAAGUAAUAAAAGAUCUGCCCUGGUCUCAAAUCCACAAAUAGUAACCAAACAUGACCGAUACGCAGUCCACAACAAGGGAAUCUCCCAUGGGAGUAGAUACACAAAUAGGAGAGCUCAAGGUAUCUCGGGCUAUACACAAAUGCAGAGCACAAUAAGAUGACACCUAAGAAUAGGUGCCUGGAUAGAAUAUUAUUGAUGCCUCUCUGUGACUAACCAAUAUAAUACUUGUGAUAACCGAAUCAGAGGCCAUAGCCUCACCACGAUAAGGAAAAUCAUAAUAUAUGCCCCGGCCCCUCCCUUGAGGGCGACCUCUAUCUCCCUAAUAUCCAUCCCUGGAUGGCUGGGCAGGUGGGGCAGAAGCUGGAGCUGGAACGAUAGCCUGCGAACCCUGUGGAGCAUGUUGAGGUAGUGGAGUCUGAGAAGGCACACCCCUUCAAAGUUUGGGGCACUCCUAAACCAUGUGGCGGGUAUCCCCGUACUCAAAAUAAGUUCUGGCAAGGCAUGAUGGCUGUGACUUAUUGGGCCUACCCCAGCUAGACUGACCUAUGGAAGUACCCCGCGCAGGAGGCAUACUAGAAAGCGGAGGUGCAUAUUAAGCUCAUGGGAUCUGGGAGGAGCUGGAGUACUGCUAGAUGAAGGAAGAGUUGAAUGAACAGGGCGACCACACAACCCCUACCGUGACGUCCUGCGGCUGAUGUACGAGUACCAUAGUAGUGACCCGACAGUUGAGACCUCUUGUCCUCUCUCUCUUCUAGCUCUCUGGUGUGUAUACCCUCGAUCCUCGUGGAUAUGAUCACUAACUACUGGUAGAGUAUAUCCAUCUCCAACUCUCGAGCCAUUCCAGACCUGAUGGGAGAAAUAAGAGCCUUAAUAAAUAGGAAAUCCCUCUCGCGAACAGUAGCCACCAAAGCAGGUGCAUAUCUUGCCAACCUAGUAUAAUGGAUGGCAUACUCAAAGACGGUCAUAGGGCCCUAGCGCAAAUGCUCAAACUCCGUGCACCAUGCAUCUCGAACGCAUUAGGGAACAAACUCCCUCUAAAACGUAUCUCAAAACUGAGUCUAAGUGAGGGAGGCAGACUUGUCCGGAGUGUCGAACUGAAAGGUGCACCACCAAUCAUAGGCGGCUCCCCGAAGAUGGAAAGUUGUGAAAGAAACCCCGCUAGAUAGGGAUAAUAUCUAGAAUAUAUCUCAUAUGCACCCUCUGCUCUGGUGUGCGGGCUACGGGACUCUGGCUUUCUCCCCCGGCCUAGGAUGUGGCCGCAUGAACGGGAAGCACCCCUGCCUGUGAAGCGUAGUAUACAUGCUCAUAAACUGUGCAUAUGCCUCUUAAACAGCUGGAGUAGUGGUGGAUGUGGGCGUGUCAGGUGCCUGAGCCCCCGCUAGAUCUACAGGCGGUACCUCGACGGCAGCUCGCACCGGUGCUCUGGUUGUACCACGCGCGUGUCAACGACCCCUGCCCCAGCCUCUGCCUCUAGCAGCUGCAAGAAGGGGUUCGGGUGCCUGGUCGUCCUAGGUCGUGCAUGUCCUCACCAUCUGUGAGAUAAUAGCAGACAUAGGUUUUGCGCCGCUGUCGAAAAUAUAUCACAAUAAAGAAUUUAAUGAAGUGAAGAUUUUUCCUAAACAGUUACAUUGCCUCCCGUAGAUAUGUACAGAUAUCUCCGUACCGAUCAACGAGACUCUAAUAUACCGACCUGUGUCCCGUGACUCCUAUGAACCUAGAGCUCUGAUACCAACUUGUCACGACACUAGUUCACCAAUUGGGAGCGUGUCAUGAUGGAACCUAGUCGUCACGACUAGGUAAGCCUAAAACAUUGCGGAAAUUAACAAUAUCUAUGAAAAAUAAUCAUAGAAAUUUAGAGAGUUGCCACAUGACACAUACACUUAGAUACAAAAAUGCUGAAAACAACUCCCAAGACUCGGAAUCCCAUGGGCAACACAGGAUAUAGAAGAACAUACGAUGCUCUAGUCACCCAAAAUAUUCUAAUACAUAGAAAAAUAGAAUAAUAACUAGCUAACAACAGGUAGAAUGCGAGGGAGACUCUUUGGAUCGGAAGAUGCGACAGAUGUAUAUCUCAAGUCUCUGAAUAAAGCUCCUGGAUCACUGAUAGUGCACCUGACCGGAAGUACCUGGAUCUGCACAUGAAAAACAUGCGCAGAAGACGCCUGAGUACACCAAAGCUGUACUCAGUGAGUGCCAAGCCUAACCUCGGUCGGGUAGUGACGAGGAAGGUCAGGGCCCUACUAAGGUAAAAUAUAAUAAUAAGGUUGAAAACAUUAUGAAUUAAGCAGAAAUAAGGAAAUACAACUAUGAAAUAAAUCAGAUUACACAACAGCAAUUAACCAGCAGAAAAUAAGAUAAUGCAGAGUAAACAACUCAAUACUUGUACCAAUAAUGGGGAUCUUCCACGAUAGCGUCCUGUAGUCCAUUUAAUACAAAUAUCCAAUACUGGGGGAAUCUACAUGCUGCAUUGCCAUAGUUCUAUAUAAUCGUGCAGGGGGGUCUCCGGGGAAUCAAACCCGUAGUGCCAAUUGAACAACAAGGGGGAACUCCCAGAAACCCACAUCUGUAGUCCCAAUUUAAAUGUGCAAUCAUAACAAAAUUUUACAGGAAAAAUCAAAUAUGGAACACCAACAAUUGGCUAUAAUAGCCUAGCAUGCUUCACGUAGUACAACUUAGGCAAAAUAAGAAAUUAAGCAAUUAAUUCUAUAUAAUCAUGCUUUUCUAACUAACACAGAUUAAAUCUUGCAUUGAAACCAGUAAAAAGAAAACGUAAAAACACAGUUUAGAUAAUUCAAGUAAAGUGGAUUUUUCAACAACUAGCACAAGUACAUGCUCGUUACCUCGCGCACAAGACAUUUAAAUCAGCAGAUAAGAAGUUCUAAGGGGAGAGGUCCCUCACACAAGGUUAGACAAGCCACUUACCUUGAACCACUGCAAAAAUCAAUAAGUAACAAUGCCCUUGCCACGAGUAUCUGACUAUGAGUGGCUAAAAUCUAUUCAAACCAAUUACAUAUUAUAAAUAACAUCGCAAGUAACUAACUCCACUAUUAAAAUUAAAGCUAAGGCACGAAAAGAUAUAAAAUGACCAAACUGCCCCUCACACCAACGUCUCGGAAUCGAAUAAUUUUUACAUUUUCAGAACCCUCAUACUUUCACAAGUCUACCCAUAUAAGAUUCAUCCUAAUCGGAGGUCAAAUGCCACCUCAAAAAUCAAUUGUUUGGUCAAUGAAGUUUCAUCCAAUUUUCCCAAAUUGGACCUUGAAUUAGAAUUUAAAUGAUGGAUUAAACUAAAAAAUGACGGAAUAUAACUAGAAAAGAUCGUAUAGAAGUUACCCAAUAGUCACCUCCUCAAAAUCCUCUCAAAAUCGCCCUUCCCUGAGCUCAAUUUGAUUUUCUUAACUUUUGAAAACUAACUCUCGAAUUUCUCUUAUAUAAACAGAGAUUUCCGCUUUUGCGGUCCAGGGAUAGCAUCUGCGGUCCCACAUAUGGGAACCACAAGCUACAUUUGUGACUCUUCAUUAAACCCCAAGCAUCCGCAUCUACGGUCACAGGAACAUCUUAUGCGGUUAUGCCUAUGAGGAUACCAAUCCGUUUCUGCGGUAUCUGCCCAAAUCCCAAUCUGCUUCUGUGAUUUCUUCAUCCGCUUCUACUGUUCCCAACCGCAGAAGUGAAAAUGAUAGGAGUCUGCUGCAAUUUUUCAUCCAACUCCCAAAACUUGCCCGUUGAGCAUCCGAAACACACCCGGGGCCCCCGCGACCCCAACCAAAAACACCAAUACUAUCUAACUCCUUAGUCUAACUUGUACAAAUCCUUAAACCCGCCAAACAACACUGAAACACGAUUAAAUCAACGAUUCAAGCCUAAGAACUUUAAGUUCAUCCAAAAAACACGCCUUAGAUCCAAAACCUAAUCAACACUUCUCUGAUUGACUCGAAACAUUGCACGCACGUCCCAAAUGACAUGACAGUGCUACAACAACUUUUGGAAUCCCGUUCCGAUCCCCGGAUCAAAAUUCACUAUCGGACCGGAAACUCUAAAUUCUAACUUUCAGCAUUUCUAGCCUAAAUAAGCUACGGACAUCCAAAAUACAUUCCGAAUAAGCUCCCAACCCCAGAAUUACCUAAUGGUGCUAAUAGAACCAUCAGAUUUCCAUUACAAGAUAUUCUUCACACUGUUCCAAUUACGAACCACUUUCCAACACUUAAGAUCUCAUUUAGGGACUAAGUGUCCCAAAAAUACUCUGAAUUCUAUCAUCGAACGUCCUGGCAAACCAAAAUAGCUAAAAUGAACUUUUGGAAAUAGUUAAUAGGAAAACGGGGAUAAAUUCUAAAGACGACCAGCCGGGUAAUCGCAAUUUGGAAGUGUGGACGGUCAAGAUUAGUUGAUGCAAAAAACGGCAUUGUUUUGUAACCUUGGGAUUUGGAUCGGGUUAGGGAAUGCGUUUGGGUCGUUAAGGGUCAAAUUAUGGAGGGUUGAUUAGGCUUGAAUUCUGUAACUCAAAAAUUAGAUGGCCUGGAUAAUUUUUCAUUUGUUUUUCUUUUCCUUUUUUUCUUUUGUAUUCUUAUUUAUUUAUUUAUUCAUUCAUUUCAUUGCAAAAUUAACGAAACCUAACAUAACUCCAAAAUUAGACCAAUUAAUUUUCUAAAAUAGAAUAAAUCCUAGAUAAAGAGGAAACUAGAAAAAAAAUGCAAAAAUGCAAAAAGUGACCAUUUUUUGUACUUUUGUUCUAUUUUUGUGAUAUUAGUUAAAAAAAUCUAGAAUUGGAUCCUAAAUUCAUGUAUGAUAUUUUUGUAUUUUUCAUGAGUUAUGUCAAUUAAAAAAUGCACCAAAUCCAAGCAAUCACCAAGCCAUGCAAUUAGUUUCCUAUAAUUUAAAUAAUAAAACAAAAAUGAUGAUUUUAAUGAAUUUAUAGAAGUAAUUUAAGCGUGGAAAAAAUCACGUGCUCACAUUAAGUUUUAUGUGCUAGGUUGGAUUGUGCAAUUUUAGUUGCAUUGAAUUAUUGGACCUAUAUGAAACAGGGCGACGUAGGAUCACCCCCAGGUAUAUUCAUGCUAAUGUUAUUUAGCUAUUGGUUGGAUUUUGGAACAACCCUGGGCAUGUUCGAGGAUGAAGGUAUGUUUAAGUGGGGGAGGAUGUAACGACUCGACCGGUCUUUUUGAGCUUUUGCACAAUUCUCGCCAGCUCUAUGGCAUGACUUGCCCCGUGUGAUGUAUUAUGACUUAUGUAAAUCAUUGGUUUAUGAUUUUCAUGAAAAUCGGAAUGAAUUUAGAAGAAUAGUUCUCAAUUUUUAGCUUGAAAUUUAAAAGGUUUGAUCGAGAUUUGACUUGUUUGUAUAUGAUAUUGGAUCAGAAUUUUUAUAAUUGGAUUAGUUCCUUUAGGUGAUUUGGGACUUAGGAGCGUGAUUGGAAUGUAUUUUGGAAGUCCGUGGAGGGUUUAGGCUUGAAUUGGCGAAAAUGAGAUUUCAGUUUUUCCGGUUGAUGGGUGAGAUUUUGAUAUAGAGGUCGGAACGAAAUUUCAUAAGUUGCAAUAGUAUUUUUGUGUCAAUUGGGAUGUUUGUGCAAAAUUUAAGGUCAUUCGGACAUGGGUUGGCUGGAUUUUUUUAUCAAAUGCGAAAUUCGGAAGAUUUUUGAAUCUUAGACUUGAAUCUGAUGUGCGUUACUUGAUUAGCUAUUUUUUAGGUGUUUUGAAUAUUGGUACAAGUUCGAAUAAGGUUAUGGUUUAUGUUUGUGCUUUUGGUUAAGGUUCCGGUGGACCUCAGUGUGAUUUCUAAUGGUUGGCGGAGAGUAUGGAAUUUUCAAGAAGUUGUAGAUUUUCCGCUUCUAGUAUUUUUGCACCUUUGGAUUGGGGAGUGCAGGUGCAAUGCCGUAUAUGCAGAGUAUUGGUUGUAGAAGCAAAAGCUGGUGAGGUUGGAAGGAAUCGCAAAAGCGCUUGUGGGACCGCAUCUGCGAAGGCACAUGUGCGGAUAUAUCAUCGCAAAUGCGAUUUGGAGAAGUUUAAGUGAAGAACCGUAGAAUCGACUUUUGGACCGCAAAAGAGGUACUGCAGAUGAGAUGCAUUGACCGCAUAUGCAAAAAUACAUGGUUCAGAAUGCAUAUAUUUUGCCCUUCACGAUUUUGAGAGGGUUUCACCAUAUUUAAUCCGGGAGAUAGCUUGGGAUAGCCAAUUGAAGAGGGAAUUCAAAAGGAUUUCAUGGAAAUAAGAUUUUUGGACCCUAAACUUGUUUCUAUAUGAAAUUUUAACAUUUGUAAGCAUGAAAUCCAUGGAAAAUCAGUAGGGAAAAGGGGUAAUUAGGGCUUGAGAUUAAGAGACCUUUGAGUGGUGAUUUGAGAAGCCAUUUGAGGUCCGAUUUUUAUAUUCUUGAUACGUAUGAUCUCGUGGGAGGAUGAGGAUUCCAUUGAUAAUAAUUUGAUCGGAUUCAGAGACAUGGGCCUAGGGAUCGGGUUUGAGAAAUUUAGGGAUUUUUGAUAUAAAUUGGAUAUUUUCGUGUGGGCUUUGCUCCUUUAGCAUAUUUUAAUGAUGAUGUACUGAUGUGGCUAGAUUCGGAGCGUCCAAAGGUCGCUUCAGGUGAGAAAAGGCAUCGCGGGCUAGAGUAUUGAUCGGAUCAAGGUGAGGAAUGAUUGUAAAUAUUGUCCUGAGGGUAUGAAACCCGGGACUGCACAUCGAUGUGCUAUAUUGUGGUGACGCACACGCUGGAUGACGAGCGUGAGGUCAUGCACUAUUGGAGAUUGCGAACUAGUCCAUCUCGAAUGACUGUUUUACUGUGUUUUUGAUUGAAAAUUAUUUUCUAUCAUCAUGUUUUAGGCUGAAUGCAUUUUUGGGCCUCGUUCUAGCUAUUUGAAACCUUCGUCGGA
This 20189-nucleotide long non-coding RNA is filed under the name Nicotiana benthamiana. RNAcentral's name for it is "long non-coding RNA (NBEN_LNC029696)". Lineage: Eukaryota; Viridiplantae; Streptophyta; Magnoliopsida; Solanales; Solanaceae. The record is from RNAcentral.